RNAcentral lists this ribosomal RNA (253 nucleotides) under uncultured bacterium. RNAcentral's name for it is "partial 16S ribosomal RNA". It matches the Rfam family "Bacterial small subunit ribosomal RNA", at positions 524 to 776 of the family's 1533-position model. The record is from RNAcentral.
AACGUAGGAGACAAACGUUAUCCGGAGUUACUGGGCGUAAAGGGCGUGUAGGUGGUUCUGUAAGUUCGGCGUGAAAUAUCUCGGCUUAACCGGGACAGGUCGUCGGAUACUGCAAGACUAGAGGACGGUAGAGGCGUGUGGAAUUCCGGGUGUAGUGGUGAAAUGCGUAGAGAUCCGGAGGAACACCAGUGGCGAAGGCGACACGCUGGGCCGUACCUGACACUGAGGCGCGAUAGCAUGGGGAGCAAACAGG